GACGAACGCUGGCGGCGUGCUUAACACAUGCAAGUCGAACGGAAAGGCCCCUGCUUGUAGGGGUACUCGAGUGGCGAACGGGUGAGUAACACGUGGGUGAUCUGCCCUUCACUUCGGGAUAAGCUUGGGAAACUGGGUCUAAUACCGGCUAGGACUUAUGGCUGUAUGCUGUUGUGGCGAGUUUUUCGGUGUGGGAUGGGAUAGCGGCCUAUCAGCUUGUUGGUGGGGUAAUGGUCUACCAAGGCGUCGACGGGUAGCCGGCCUGAGAGGGUGGACGGCCACACUGGGAUGGAGCUAAGGCACAGACUAGAACGCGAGGCAGCGGUGGGGAGGGGUGCACUAGGCGCGGAAGCAUAGCGUAGUCAAGCAGUGUGGGGGAUGACGGCCUUGGGGUUGUAAACUACUUCCGUUUGGGACGAAGCGAUAGUGACGGUACCGGGAGAAGAAGCACCGGCUAACUACGUG
RNAcentral lists this ribosomal RNA (465 nucleotides) under uncultured bacterium. Its description in RNAcentral is "partial 16S ribosomal RNA". It matches the Rfam family "Bacterial small subunit ribosomal RNA", at positions 28 to 507 of the family's 1533-position model. The record is from RNAcentral.